GAAGAGGAAUUCGAUCGAAUGCUGUGUUUAGGCGCCUGCCUUGACAACACUGUUUGGCACCUUAGAUAGAUAGGCUGCACUUAAUCUGUUCUGUUAUAUGGCAUGGAAAAUCUCUGAUCAGUUUGGGAUGAUUCCUUGGUCAAGUUUCCUAUGUAAAUGGAGAUAGAAGAAGGAAUGCAGAAUUGAAGCUUACCAUGUGCAACCCAACACUUCCACAUGACGUGACUUGAAACUCUAUAUUAAUAGAACAGGAGGAAUAUUGUUGGAAGUCUUCUGGUCCUUUAUGACACGGUAUUGGAUUGCAUAUUAUGUUGGAGAUGAAUCUGGGUUCUCAGGAGGAAUAUUGUCGGUGCUUUAUACGUAACACUGCUGAAAAGCUGUUUUUAUUCUCAUGCUAUGAUAAUCUCAUAUGUAAUGUGGUGUUCUUUUAAAUCUUAAAGUACGUUAGUUUCUAAUCCAGCAGAGAAAAUAGACUGGUUAAGGCUGGUUGAGGAAAAGAAUCAGGCUUAAUCAACUUCAUCAUGAAGCUCAGCAACAAUGAAUGGGAUUGAAGAUGAGAGUUUGGUGUAAUUUUGUGGGGGGUUAAAGACGUAAAUCUAUAGAUCUGGAAAUCUGAAAUGUGCCUCUCAACAUGUAACUUGGGAGUUGUCGCAGUUUCGCGGGUGGUACGAAACCUCAUUUUCCAUGAGGUGGUUUGGGUCUCUAAUCAGUUGAGAACAUGAACAGAGACGACAGUCAGGGGAGAGACAGAUGGUGUAUGCGCCUCUUUGAAUUGAAAUUACUACUCCUUUGGCCGAAGUUAGGUAGGGUGUUAUGGCUAUUUUGGGUCUUCUUCAAAAGUUAAUCAUCUAAUCUUACUGCAUAAAUAUGUUAACAACUACGUUUUAGCAACUCUAAUGUACAAUUAAAUUAGUACAACACUCAAGAAAAAUCGGAUGAAAAUCGAAAAGAACUAGACAAUCCAUUCGUGGUAUAUGCAUAUGGUGUAGUUGACACACAUUGCAGUUGUAAAUUGUGUGAUCCAAACUUGGGUACUUUAAUAUUCGAGACUUCUACUUUUAAUCAACAAUACAAGGCCCAAUCAGAAAAA
Molecule: RNA transcript, 1090 nt
Organism: Gossypium arboreum
Lineage: Eukaryota; Viridiplantae; Streptophyta; Magnoliopsida; Malvales; Malvaceae
Exons: 3
Source: RefSeq, a predicted model, not a curated record